RNAcentral lists this unclassified non-coding RNA (192 nucleotides) under uncultured fungus. RNAcentral describes it as "sequence contains ITS2". The record is from RNAcentral. Lineage: Eukaryota; Fungi.
ACCUCUCACCUCUGACGGUUUUGUAAUAGAACCGAUCAGAUGCGUGGAUAUGGGCGCCUGCCUGGUGAACAACCUUAUGGCUCGCCUGAAAUGUAUUAGCUGGGAUCUGCAUGUCAGACCGGAGGCGUAAUAAGUUAUUCGUCUCGCGACUUGAUGGUGUAGCCUGCUUCUAAAUCAUUACACUUUUUUGAA